This 558-nucleotide ribosomal RNA is filed under the name Sporobolomyces aff. beijingensis UCDFST 11-1143. RNAcentral's name for it is "eukaryotic LSU rRNA". The stretch from base 158 to 311 matches the Rfam family "5.8S ribosomal RNA". Lineage: Eukaryota; Fungi; Basidiomycota; Microbotryomycetes; Sporidiobolales; Sporidiobolaceae. The record is from RNAcentral.
AAGGAUCAUUAGUGAAUAAUAGGGUGUCUAAUUUAACUUAGAGCCCGAUCUUCCACUUUCUAACUUUGUGCAUCUGUAUAUGGCGAGCAGUCUUCGGAUUGUGAGCCUUCACUUAUAAACACCAGUCUAUGAAUGUAAAAUUUUUAUAACAAAUAAAAACUUUCAACAACGGAUCUCUUGGCUCUCGCAUCGAUGAAGAACGCAGCGAAAUGCGAUACGUAAUGUGAAUUGCAGAAUUCAGUGAAUCAUCGAAUCUUUGAACGCAUCUUGCGCUCUCUGGUAUUCCGGAGAGCAUGUCUGUUUGAGUGUCAUGAAUUCUUCAACCCAAUUGUUUAUUAAAAGCAGUUGGUGUUUGGAUUCUGAGCGCUGCUGGCUUCGGCCUAGCUCGUUCGUAAUACAUCAGCAUCCCUAAUACAAGUUUGGAUUGACUUGGCGUAAUAGACUAUUCGCUAAGGAUUCAAUGUUCGCAUUGAGCCAACUUAAUUAAGGAAGCUUCUAGUCACAAAGUCUACCUUUAGAUUAGAUCUCAAAUCAGGCAGGAUUACCCGCUGAACUUAA